This 76-nucleotide transfer RNA is filed under the name Gammaproteobacteria bacterium. Its description in RNAcentral is "tRNA-Ala". It matches the Rfam family "tRNA". Rfam says of the family: Transfer RNA (tRNA) molecules are approximately 80 nucleotides in length. Their secondary structure includes four short double-helical elements and three loops (D, anti-codon, and T loops). RNAcentral also lists the same sequence under 2 other names. The record is from RNAcentral. Lineage: Bacteria; Pseudomonadati; Pseudomonadota; Gammaproteobacteria.
GGGGCUAUAGCUCAGCUGGGAGAGCGCUACAAUGGCAUUGUAGAGGCCGGCGGUUCGAUCCCGCCUAGCUCCACCA